AUCUGGGGUUAGGUCCACUAUUCCAAAAGUAUAAUUAGAAUAAUGCAGUCCUCACGUUAGCAUGUAUUCUAGGUAGCAGCCAUAAUGGACUAUAUAUGGUUGUAGUGUGUUACCUAAAAUAUUUUGGAUGCCAUUCAUUUUUUUCUGGGUAAUUUUGUUUAUGUUCUAUAAACUAAAUUUCAUUGCCUGCUAUUUAAUUAUUUACUUAUAUCCUUCAAGAUUCCAAAAAAGGGUUUAAUGCUGCUUCCUUUGCUGCUAUAAUCUUCCUCAAGGAUACCCCCCUACACACACACUCAUGUGCAUGUGUGCAAGUUUAUGAUUUCCAGAGGAAGGUGAAUUUGGAAGUGACUGGUUAUAGGCAGAUUUGAGAGUUGUAACUAAUGACUUCUGACAAUCAGAAAAUGUUAUUACUGCAACAAGCAUCUUUAAUAUGUUUUUAUUUCCAUGAAUCCUGUUAGGUAAGUAGUAGUGUUUGAGCUAGAUUAAGAUAUUAAGUGGAUGUUGGUCUGAAGACAUCCUGUGUCUCAUAAGGUGGGAUAGCAUGUGCUAAGGUCUUAUUGCUACAGGUACUAUCGCCCCAUACUGUGGUUCAUAGAGUGGAGCGUUCCUUCCCUGCUUUCCCUCUGACUGCUUCUUACUGUGUUCACAGAGAAGAACUGAAGUUACAAUGCUCCGGUCCUGAAGAUGCCAGAAACUGGAUUAAUCAAGUCAAAGGACCGAGCUGGCAUUUGCCCUGGUCUUCCCGUCUCGCUUCCUCCUUCUAACAGAUAUGUAGGGGGUGUCCACUGGCUAUGAGGCCCCAUGCAAGGCACUGACAAUAUUGGGUGAGAAAAAAAAGAAAUAUUUUCUGCCUGCAUGUAGUUUGCAGAUAAUAGGAGUUAAGUAGGCGUUAAUCAGAGUCACAUGAGCACCUGAUCACAAUCAGAAACAGAUGCUGUGAAGGAUCAACUCAAGCUGCUCUGAGAGUAAAAGGAUUUAACCUGAGAGGCAGGGCGUGGCCAGGGGGGCAGACGGUCUCGCUGAGGAAGCUGACGUUUGCCUGAGACCGGAAGUAGGAACAGGAGGUUUUGGGUGGAAACUGAGAACAAGGUAUUUGGCAAAGAAGUUUGUUGAGGCCCUGGUAGAACGAUUGUCUCCAAACGUCCUUUUUCCUAAGAGAUCCACUCUUGGGAAGUACAGUCACUGCUCCACUGAACAAGGAAAAUGAUCCAUGAUGAUGAAUAAAAGCAUUACUUUAAUGUUAAUCUUCAUGGAAGAGAACCUACACCUACCGGCAGGAAACAGUUCAUCUGUUUAAUGUUUGAGUUCCAGGUGGCUCUACUCAAGGAUGGAUCUUGGCGGUUGGGAGUCAAGAAGGAACAAGAAAAGACCAGAGCCAGAGGUCAUGUUUGGGUUACCAAUGAAGUCAGUUUUCCAGAUGACAAUUUUUCAGAUUUUCUUAUUAACCUACAGAUUCUCCUGGAAGUAGACUCUCCCAUCAAGCCUGAAAGUCACUGCACUUUUUUUGUGCUUAUCUUCUCCAGGGAAGAAGUCUUGAAAACUCAGAUGCCAUCACCAGCUCUUCUUCCCAACCUCCCAUUUGCUGUUGAACUGCCGCACUCUGACAUCAUCCUGACCAGUCACUGACAGGACCCCCUGAAAACCAAAUCCAGACAGUGCUUGUAAAAGGUACUGCACAGGACUGUUCUACUCCACUUGACAAUCAAGAGCUCUUUGUACUUAUUGAACUUUUCCUUGGUUUCUGCUCUCCUUAUUCUUCUCCAGCCUAUCUGGUCCAUCUUUCUCCUCUUAGCCUAAAAUGGUGUUGUUUCCCAAGGUACUAACU
Equus caballus (horse) is the source of this 1825-nucleotide long non-coding RNA. The record is from Ensembl. Lineage: Eukaryota; Metazoa; Chordata; Mammalia; Perissodactyla; Equidae.